Schizosaccharomyces pombe (fission yeast) is the source of this 543-nucleotide non-coding RNA. The record is from the annotation of a GenBank genome assembly. Lineage: Eukaryota; Fungi; Ascomycota; Schizosaccharomycetes; Schizosaccharomycetales; Schizosaccharomycetaceae.
AUGUCUCUGUGGAAAAAACCAUUUGUAUGAAUAUGAUUGAGGCCUUUGAAUAUUUGACGCAUAAUAUCUUGAACUUGCUCAAGAGUCAAAGGGUCGUUCUUUCUAGUACUUAUUAGCUGGUACAAAUUGCAAUCGAGAAACUCCAUUACAAUAUGUAAACAUCGAAAUUGAUCUAUAUAUAAAUCGAAAAUAUUAACUAUAUUUUCAUUUUCGGAAAGUCUCAACAAAGAAUGUACCUCGCGCAAUCUGGUAGCAUCAGAAACCUUAGCCAGCUUUUUCUUCAUACUUUUUAUAGCUACUACUUCUUUAGAAGGAGUUUUAGUAGUUGCAAGGUAAACUGAACCGAAGGUGCCAUCUCCAACCUUUCGCACAACAUUAUAUACUUCAUCAAUUGAAAUGCAUUUGCGAACCUCCUUGGUAUACUUUGGUUGCUUGCCUGUAAAUACGGUAUUCGUAGUUGGAGUACCCCACAAAUACUUCUUCAUAAUAUAUCCGCACAAAAAUCGAGUUUAGGUACAAAAUAGAAUCAGUGAAGCACCUCAA